CUCGACUGCAUGAAGCUGGAAUCGCUAGUAAUCGCGAAUCAGAAUGUCGCGGUGAAUACGUUCCCGGGUCUUGUACACACCGCCCGUCACACCAUGGGAGUUGGAAGCGCCCGAAGUCUGUGACCUAACCGUAAGGGAGGAGCAGCCGAAGGUGAAGCCAGUGACUGGGGUGAAGUCGUAACAAGGUAGC
Molecule: ribosomal RNA, 190 nt
Filed under: uncultured bacterium
Lineage: Bacteria
Description: partial 16S ribosomal RNA
Rfam family: Bacterial small subunit ribosomal RNA
Source: RNAcentral